This 468-nucleotide ribosomal RNA is filed under the name uncultured bacterium. RNAcentral's name for it is "partial 16S ribosomal RNA". It matches the Rfam family "Bacterial small subunit ribosomal RNA", at positions 28 to 507 of the family's 1533-position model. The record is from RNAcentral.
GACGAACGCUGGCGGCGUGCUUAACACAUGCAAGUCGAACGGAAAGGCCCUGCUUUUGUGGGGUGCUCGAGUGGCGAACGGGUGAGUAACACGUGAGUACCCUGCCUUUGACUUUGGGAUAACUCCAGGAAACUGGGGCUAAUACCGGAUAGGAGCUCCUGCUGCAUGGGGGGGGUUGGAAAGUUUCGGCGGUUGGGGAUGGACUCGCGGCUUAUCAGCUUGUUGGUGGGGUAGUGGCUUACCAAGGCUUUGACGGGUAGCCGGCCUGAGAGGGUGACCGGCCACAUUGGGACUGAGAUACGGCCCAGACUCCUACGGGAGGCAGCAGUGGGGAAUAUUGCACAAUGGGCGGAAGCCUGAUGCAGCAACGCCGCGUGCGGGAUGACGGCCUUCGGGUUGUAAACCGCUUUCGCCUGUGACGAAGCGUGAGUGACGGUAAUGGGUAAAGAAGCACCGGCUAACUACGUG